GAUGAACGCUAGCGGCAGGCCUAACACAUGCAAGUCGAGGGAGGAGCCUUCGGGCUUCGACCGGCGUACGGGUGCGUAACGCGUAUACAAUCUGCCUUUCACAUAGGGAUAGCCCGAAGAAAUUUGGAUUAAUACCUAAUGGUAUAUAGAUGUGGCAUCACCUUUAUAUUAAAGCUGAGGCGGCGAAAGAUGAGUAUGCGUUCUAUUAGCUAGUUGGAGAGGUAACGGCUCCCCAAGGCGACGAUAGAUAGGGGUUCUGAGAGGGAUAUCCCCCACACUGGUACUGAGAUACGGACCAGACUCCUACGGGAGGCAGCAGUGAGGAAUAUUGGACAAUGGUCGGAAGACUGAUCCAGCCAUGCCGCGUGCAGGAAGACGGCCUUAUGGGUUGUAAACUGCUUUUGCAGGGGAAGAAUAAGGACUACGCGUAGUUUGAUGACGGUACUCUGCGAAUAAGCAUCGGCUAACUCCGUGCCAGCAGCCGCGGUAAUACGGAGGAUGCGAGCGUUAUCCGGAAUCAUUGGGUUUAAAGGGUCCGUAGGCGGGCUAAUAAGUCAGAGGUGAAAGCGCUCAGCUCAACUGAGCAACUGCCUUUGAAACUGUUAGUCUUGAAUGGUUGUGAAGUAGUUGGAAUGUGUAGUGUAGCGGUGAAAUGCUUAGAUAUUACACAGAACACCGAUAGCGAAGGCAUAUUACUAACAAUUAAUUGACGCUGAUGGACGAAAGCGUGGGGAGCGAACAGG
RNAcentral lists this ribosomal RNA (743 nucleotides) under uncultured Capnocytophaga sp. RNAcentral's name for it is "bacterial SSU rRNA". It matches the Rfam family "Bacterial small subunit ribosomal RNA", at positions 28 to 776 of the family's 1533-position model. Lineage: Bacteria; Pseudomonadati; Bacteroidota; Flavobacteriia; Flavobacteriales; Flavobacteriaceae. The record is from RNAcentral.